RNAcentral lists this ribosomal RNA (497 nucleotides) under uncultured bacterium. RNAcentral describes it as "bacterial SSU rRNA". It matches the Rfam family "Bacterial small subunit ribosomal RNA", at positions 899 to 1397 of the family's 1533-position model. The record is from RNAcentral.
ACUCAAAUGAAUUGACGGGGGCCCGCACAAGCGGCGGAGCAUGUUGCUUAAUUCGACGCGACGCGAAGAACCUUACCAAGGUUUGACAUGGACCGAAAACCCGCAGAGAUGUGGGGUCCUUCGGGGCGGUUCACAGGUGGUGCAUGGCUGUCGUCAGCUCGUGUCGUGAGAUGUUGGGUUAAGUCCCGCAACGAGCGCAACCCUUGCCCCAUGUUGCCAGCACGUAGUGGUGGGGACUCAUGGGGGACUGCCGGGGUCAACUCGGAGGAAGGUGGGGACGACGUCAAGUCAUCAUGCCCCUUAUGCCUUGGGCUGCAAACAUGCUACAAUGGCCGGUACAGAGCGCUGCGACACCGUGAGGUGGAGCGAAUCGCGGAAAGCCGGCCUCAGUUCGGAUCGGGGUCUGCAACCCGGCCCCGUGAAGCCGGAGUCGCUAGUAAUCGCGGAUCAGCAACGCCGCGGUGAAUACGUUCCCGGGCCUUGUACACACCGCCCGU